This 97-nucleotide non-coding RNA is filed under the name Pseudomonas taeanensis. RNAcentral describes it as "SAH sequence". It matches the Rfam family "SAH (S-adenosyl-L-homocysteine) riboswitch aptamer". The record is from RNAcentral. Lineage: Bacteria; Pseudomonadati; Pseudomonadota; Gammaproteobacteria; Pseudomonadales; Pseudomonadaceae. RNAcentral also lists the same sequence under 1 other name.
CUGUCCGAGGGGCGCUGCAGCAGGCCUAUACCCAGUAACGGGGCCUGUCAGGCUCGGAUGGGGCGUUAACCAUACGCAUCAACGGCGCCCAUUCGCA